Molecule: ribosomal RNA, 217 nt
Filed under: uncultured bacterium
Lineage: Bacteria
Description: partial 16S ribosomal RNA
Rfam family: Bacterial small subunit ribosomal RNA
Source: RNAcentral
GGAUCGCCCUUCCUACGGGAGGCAGCAGUGGGGAAUUUUGGACAAUGGGCGCAAGCCUGAUCCAGCAAUGCCGCGUGAGUGAAGAAGGCCUUCGGGUUGUAAAGCUCUUUUGUCAGGGAAGAAACGGUUCUCUCUAAUACAGGGGGCUAAUGACGGUACCUGAAGAAUAAGCACCGGCUAACUACGUGCCAGCAGCCGCGGUAAUAAGGGCGAUCCC